AUGUGAGGGCAAUCUGGCUGCAACAUCUGUCACCCCAUUGAUCACCCCGGUUGAUUCGGCUGUUCUGGCUGGCUAGGCGGGUGUUCCCUUCCUCCCUCACCGCUCCAUGUGCAUCCCUCCCGAAGCUGCAUUUAGUGUGAUGAACUUUCCUCUUAGCACUGCUUUCAACGUGCCCCAUAAGUUUGGGUAUGCUGUGUCUUCAUUCUCAUUGAAUUCUAGGAAGUCUUUAUUUUUUUUAUU
RNAcentral lists this small nuclear RNA (240 nucleotides) under Mesocricetus auratus (golden hamster). RNAcentral describes it as "7SK RNA". The stretch from base 1 to 143 matches the Rfam family "7SK RNA", at positions 3 to 171 of the family's 331-position model. Rfam says of the family: 7SK was discovered as an abundant small nuclear RNA in the mid-70s but a possible function has only recently been suggested. Two independent studies have found that 7SK RNA binds the CDK9/cyclin T complex (known as elongation factor P-TEFb). P-TEFb activates transcription by phosphorylating the C-terminal domain of RNA polymerase II. Lineage: Eukaryota; Metazoa; Chordata; Mammalia; Rodentia; Cricetidae. The record is from Rfam by way of RNAcentral.